ACAUAAUCAUAAACUGCCCCCUGGUGGCGAAUAUGUGUUUCGCUUCAUCCUUGCAUUACGGUGGAGUGGGCGGAGCCUCGUAAAUGACGGUUAUUUUUUUCAAACGAGGAAGUGAAGUCAAGUCCGCCAUUUCAUCUUCUUCUUUAUAUCGGAAAAGAAAGGAAUCAUGCAAGGAUGCAAGCUGAAGGAAAGGACAACUCUCACAUCAGUGCAUUACUAAUUGUUUGACUUCAUCAUCAAGCACACCAGCUCAGAUUGUGAUGGACCUGGAAUGCGACACCAGUUACUCCUAAGUCAAGAACCAAAUAAAGCACAGAUGUGGAGGAAUCUGCAGCUAAACUAACUGGAGGAAAGGAACCUUUAGUGUGGGUGAACAUACUACCUUGAUGUCCAACAAAGGCUGCACAAGAGCUCAU
This is a non-coding RNA of Danio rerio (zebrafish), 416 nucleotides long. The record is from RefSeq and is a predicted model, not a curated record. Lineage: Eukaryota; Metazoa; Chordata; Actinopteri; Cypriniformes; Danionidae.